GUGCAGCAGGCGAGAAACCUCCGCAAUGCGGGCAACCGCGACGGGGGGACCCCCAGUGCCGUGGCAUCGCCACGGCUUUUCCGGAGUGUAAAAAAGCUCCGGGAAUAAGGGCUGGGCAAGGCCGGUGGCAGCCGCCGCGGUAAUACCGGCGGCCCGAGUGGUGGCCGCUAUUAUUGGGCCUAAAAGCGUCCGUAGCCGGGCCUGUAAGUCCCUGGCGAAAAUCCCACGGCUCAACCGUGGGGCUUGCUGGGGAUACUGCAGGCCUUGGGACCGGGAGAGGCCGGGGGUACCCCUGGGGUAGGGGUGAAAAUCCUAUAAAUCCCAGGGGGACCGCCAAGUGGCG
RNAcentral lists this ribosomal RNA (343 nucleotides) under uncultured microorganism. RNAcentral describes it as "partial 16S ribosomal RNA". It matches the Rfam family "Archaeal small subunit ribosomal RNA", at positions 330 to 668 of the family's 1478-position model. The record is from RNAcentral.